RNAcentral lists this unclassified non-coding RNA (244 nucleotides) under plant metagenome. RNAcentral describes it as "partial contains small subunit ribosomal RNA, internal transcribed spacer 1, and 5.8S ribosomal RNA". The record is from RNAcentral.
UCUCCGUUGGUGAACCAGCGGAGGGAUCAUUACCGAGUUUACAACUCCCAAACCCAAUGUGAACCAUACCAAACUGUUGCCUCGGCGGGGUCACGCCCCGGGUGCGUCGCAGCCCCGGAACCAGGCGCACGCCGGAGGGACCAACCAAACUCUUUCUGUAGUCCCCUCGCGGACGUUAUUUUUACAGCUCUGAGCAAAAAUUCAAAAUGAAUCAAAACUUUCAACAACGGAUCUCUUGGUUCUG